AAUUUUGGACAAUGGGCGCAAGCCUGAUCCAGCCAUGCCGCGUGAGUGAAGAAGGCCUUCGGGCUGUAAAACUCUUUCUGACGGAAAGAAAUCGCUCAGGAUAAUACCCUGCGCGGAUGCAGGUACAGACAUAAGAAUCACCGGCUAACUACGUGCCAGCAUCCGCGGUAAUACGUAGUGUUCGAGAGUUAAUCGGAAUUACUGGGCGUAACGCGAGCGCAGGUGGUUGAUUAAGACAGGCGUGAAAACCCCGGGCUCAACCUGGGAACUGCGCUUGUGACUGGUCAGCUAGAGUACGGCAGAGGGGGGUGGAAUUCCACGUGUAGCAGUGAAAUGCGUAGAGAUGUAGAGGAACACCGAUGGCGAAGGCAGCUACCUGGGCCGAUACUGACGCUCAUGCACGAAAGCGUGGGUAGCAAACAGG
Molecule: ribosomal RNA, 424 nt
Filed under: uncultured bacterium
Lineage: Bacteria
Description: partial 16S ribosomal RNA
Rfam family: Bacterial small subunit ribosomal RNA
Source: RNAcentral